Molecule: ribosomal RNA, 498 nt
Filed under: uncultured Glomeromycotina
Lineage: Eukaryota; Fungi; Glomeromycota
Description: partial small subunit ribosomal RNA
Rfam family: Eukaryotic small subunit ribosomal RNA
Source: RNAcentral
CCAAUAGCGUAUAUUAAAGUUGUUGCAGUUAAAAAGCUCGUAGUUGAAUUUCGGGAUCAAUAUGUCGGUCGUGCCUCGGUACGUACUGGCGUCAUUGGUUUCUCCCUUCUGAAGAACCUCGAUGUCAUUAAUUUGGUGUCGUGGGGAAUCAGGACUGUUACUUUGAAAAAAUUAGAGUGUUUAAAGCAGGCUCACGCUUGAAUACAUUAGCAUGGAAUAAUGAAAUAGGACGUUUGAUUCUAUUUUGUUGGUUUCUAGGAUCGACGUAAUGAUUAAUAGGGAUAGUUGGGGGCAUUAGUAUUCAAUUGUCAGAGGUGGAAUUCUUGGAUUUAUUGAAGACUAACUACUGCGAAAGCAUUUGCCAAGGAUGUUUUCAUUAAUCAAGAACGAAAGUUAGGGGAUCGAAGACGAUCAGAUACCGUCGUAGUCUUAACCAUAAACUAUGCCGACUAGGGAUCGGAUGAUGUUAAUUUUUUAAUGACUCAUUCGGCGCCUUAC